UCGAGAAUCUUUCGCAAUGGGGGAAACCCUGACGACGCGACGCCGCGUGGAGGAUGAAGGCCUUCGGGUUGUAAACUCCUGUCAGCAGGGGAGAACAAGCUUUUAGUGAAUAACUGAGAGCUUUGACAGUACCUGCAGAGGAAGCCACGGCUAACUCUGUGCCAGCAGCCGCGGUAAUACAGAGGUGGCAAGCGUUGUUCGGAUUUAUUGGGCGUAAAGGGUCCGUAGGCGGCCUAGAAAGUCGGGUGUGAAAUCCCACAGCUUAACUGUGGAACUGCAUUCGAAACUUCUAGGCUCGAGUGUGAUAGGGGUAAAGGGAAUUCCCGGUGUAAGGGUGAAAUCUGCAGAGAUCGGGAGGAACACCAGUCGCGAAGGCGCUUUACUGGAUCACUACUGACGC
Molecule: ribosomal RNA, 400 nt
Filed under: uncultured bacterium
Lineage: Bacteria
Description: bacterial SSU rRNA
Rfam family: Bacterial small subunit ribosomal RNA
Source: RNAcentral